CCCCCCCCGCCCCCUGCGACCCCACCCCCCUACCCCGUGCCUCUCUAAAGCAUCCAGAACUGACUCAGCUGCAUCAGACUGUGCCCUGUGUCCUGUUGGCAUGUCCCCAUGCUUCGUCCCUGGAGUGAACUACAACCUGGGACUUCCAGAGGCGGCUAUGGUUAGGCAGGGAGCAGCCAGUGUUCUGGAGUAGACCCAGACAUAAACCUAAUUCUUGAUUUGAGAACAGUGGCUCCUCUGAACUGGCUUGAUAAUGUGUUACCAGCCGGGGCGAGUCAGCCAUAGAGGGGCCUGGCAAUCCUUCUGCCCUGCAGAUUCUUUGACUCCUUCUUUUCUUUCUGUUGCUUUUGUUUGCCUAGUUGAGACAGGACCUCACUAUGAAGCCCAGGCUAGGCUUGAGUGAGAUCCCUCUGCCUCAGCCCUGCAGGGUGCUGGAUCCGGGAAUGUGCAGGCUCCUUACUGUUUGGAAGGAGGAAUUCUGCAGGGCUCAGAGCCGCAGGUGUUCCAUCCACCCUUCAGCUGCACUUCCUGUGGAUGAGACCCAGAGAAAUGGGAAGAUCAACUGGGCAGCAAGUGACAAUCACCUACUGAAUGUAAGAAAUGGAGCCCUGGAGGGGCUUUGUCCUGUUGCUGAAGAGAGGCAACCUGGAUUCAUGGGACUCCAGGAUGGGGGAUGGGCAGUUUCAGUGUCGGUGGAAGAGAGGUUGGUUUCUCUGUGAUAGAAAUGCAUGGCUCCAGCAGUGGCUGCUGUCCUGUCCUGCUUGGCUCAGGGGGGCUGCACUGCUGCAGUAGGCAUGGGACAGA
Molecule: long non-coding RNA, 804 nt
Filed under: Mus musculus (house mouse)
Lineage: Eukaryota; Metazoa; Chordata; Mammalia; Rodentia; Muridae
Description: long non-coding RNA chr11:88253302-88254106
Source: RNAcentral